GCCCUCGUAGCUCAGUGGAUAGAGCAGCGGCCUUCUAAUCCGCCGGUCGGGAGUUCGAAUCUCUCCGGGGGCA
This 73-nucleotide transfer RNA is filed under the name Leucobacter muris. Its description in RNAcentral is "Leucobacter sp. DSM 101948 tRNA-Arg". It matches the Rfam family "tRNA". From Rfam's summary of the family: Transfer RNA (tRNA) molecules are approximately 80 nucleotides in length. Lineage: Bacteria; Bacillati; Actinomycetota; Actinomycetes; Micrococcales; Microbacteriaceae. The record is from RNAcentral.